Molecule: non-coding RNA, 3395 nt
Organism: Cyanistes caeruleus (blue tit)
Lineage: Eukaryota; Metazoa; Chordata; Aves; Passeriformes; Paridae
Source: RefSeq, a predicted model, not a curated record
CCAGCAUAAUUUCUUAUUAUUUGGAGGUGUAAUAUUGCUAUAUUAUAAACAAAGUGAGGAGUUGGAUGGUCAAAGGUUAACAUGAAUCACUAUUAGGAAAACUGUGGAUGACAGUUACCAUAUUUGACUUUGGGAAGAGUUGCUGCAACAGGUCUUUAAGGAAGAGAAAAUAUUGCAAACCUUUGCUUUGCCAUUGCUUAUUUAGUUGGAGUGGUAAUGCUAAAUGAUUAGGGAAGGAAACCGGCCGUGUGAUGCAUCUUUUAAGAAACAUCACCAAAUCACUGCUUUGAAGAGGGAGGUUAUGUUUCAGUAAUGUUCAUAAUAUCUCUUCAUUAAGUAUUAAGCUUAUAUUAUAUGUGUGGAUUCAUUCACUUACUGAGAAAGUGUUUGAAAGUUUUCAAUUAGUGAUGACAACAAAAAUCCCCACUCUUCAUUUUCAAUGACAGUCUUCAAUUUUCAAUGACAGUCUUCAGUGGUGUUUUGAAUGGACAGCUUCUCUUUUAAGCAAAAAAAAAUAAUCUAACCUUACUUUAAAUGCAGAUAAAGUCAGAAUCUUUCAAUCCACUUCUGAAUAUUUGUCAUAUAAAUUACAUGACAUCAUCAUACCUCAGGUUUCCCCAAGGAGAUACGUAGGUUGCAGUCAAGUCAUGCUUUGAUUUCUAUCCCUGAGAGUUGGCUAGAUGGGGUUUCACUCCUCUUACUGGAAGUUUUUGGAAACCUAUUCUCUACCUUUUCCAUGGACUGGUUUCCUGGUUUAUCUUUCCUCUCACUAUCCCCCUUUGAAGGGCUUCCAGGUAAUCCAUCACUCUCCCAGCCCCAAGCUGAGUGUCUCACAGGACAAGGUUUGUUGUCUGGGAUUUGGGUGUCUCACAGGACACUGCUGGGUACAGGGUUUAUUGUUGGGAUUUGUGUGUCUCACAGGACACUGCUGGGUACAGGGUUUGUUGCUGUGGUUGGUAUGAUGUGGCUAAGCUGUGGUGGGCCAGCUCUGGCCAAAUGUCAGGUGCCCACCUCAGCAGGGCCAGGCCACACUGGGCAGCAGCUGGUGGGGGGUGAUAAUGGGGACAUCUCUUACUGUGUACAGUCACAGGAGAAACAGAUUCCACAUGGGGAAAAUUGACUUCAUUUCUUGAUAAUUACAAGACAUUCGGGUGAUGAGAAGCAAAGGCAAAUGAACCCUGUUGCCGCCUGUUUCUGCCCCUUCAGCCUCACCUUGCCCCCACUCCUGGUGCCCAGCAGCAUUUUCCCGCCUCAGCCCGUGAGGCGCCACCUGAGGGGCUCAGAGGGGCAGCAGGAACCGGCCAGAACUGGCUGGAACCAGCCAGAACCAGUUGUCAGCCACCUGAGGCAGCCCUGCGCUCCCCUCACACAGACCCUCGGCCCUGCUGCUGCCCCAGGGACCUGCUGCUGCCCCACAUCCCACCUUGGCCUGUCCAGGCUGUGUUUGGAAGCGGCCCUGGACAGCUUGGAUACAGAAGACACUGCCAGUGAUCAGGGUGUCACCUUCAGCCAAAGAGACACGACACCUUGGGGCUCCCCUCAUGCCUGCAGGCCGGGGAGCUGAGAGCACACAGGGUGUGACAGGAAUGCAACACUGAUUUGACUCCGUGCUACAGUAAUUCAAUAACAACCUUCUCUGCCUAGUGCUGCUUCCAGAGAAAAUGUGUCUUAUACUCAGAUGUAAACAACGUUAUAUAGGACUUGGAGGGACCGUCUGGAUAGUCUUCAGUACAACCUUAAGACAAUCUACUUCACCUGUGAGAAAUAUUUGUGUAACCUCUUCUUAAAACCUUACACAAAGAUUCCCUCAACCAUUCAAAAAGAAAGCUGUGUGUUAGGCCCUGAACUGUACUUAUUCCAACUGAGACCUUGCCAGUGCUGAAGAAAAGAGAAUAACAACCUGCCUUAUUAAUGCAGGCCAUGAAAUCUGCCUCUUGCUCAUCAGCAGUGCUUUGCAAACUUCAGUUCAAGAUGGUUCUUAAUGCUUUUCUAUGUAUUGCUGCUUGACUAGUCUGAUGCUGUACUGCACAUUUGAUUUUGUCUUCCUUGGUGUAGGGAUUUGCAUGUGAUAAAACACUUUGAAUCAUGUCAGACAGAAAAGAUAUAUAUCAGAAGCAAAUAUGGCUUUGAAAGUCAGUGUAGUUUCUAAUGUACAAUCAGUUACUCAGUGAUAGCUGCUCCAGUAACAGCAGAGGUUUCAUUUCUGUUUGGUAGGUGGCAUGCGUUUUGUUUCUAACAAACACAAAUAACUGCAGUAGAUUCAUUUUCAGUGAGCCAGGAAGAAACUGUGACUUGUUGUUCCCAGCAUACACCUGAAGGUGGAUAUAUUCAUAUCCCAGACCAUAGCAAAUUUUGUGCAUUUAUUGGUACAGUAAUUUGGGGGUUUGUGGCAUACAGGAAAAGCCCAUGAGACAGGUUUUAUGUUGAUUAGUGCUAUCUUCUAAUUGGUUACAAUUAGCUAAAGUGGUUUUCAUUACUAGUUCUGACAUAAGCUUCUAUGAAUACUAAAACAUUAGCCCAAUGAUAUGUUCAGCUUUGUGACACAAAUCAGGGGAGAGAAAUUGCAGUGAACAUGGAGUAAUAUUUUACAUGUGGUUGAAAGAUAUUUUCAACACUUGAAGAAACUACAUGAGAUACCUUCAGACUUGCUUGAAUUUAUUGAUAUGUGAUCUCGAUGCAUGGAGCUUUUGUUCUGGUUUUGGGUAUAAAAACACCCUGGUAAUGUGCAGAUGUGGGUGUUAACUUCAGCCUCAGCUGCAGUGAUAGCAAAUAGGAAUAGGAUGGGCCACAAUAAUUUAUCAACAGUCUUGUUUUCAGUCUGCUGUUGCAGGCUGAAGGACCCCUUUGUUCAGCAGCAUAAUAACCAGCGGGCAGAUGACUUUGACUCUCUCACUCUCAGGGGCUCAUGAAUAAGACCUAAUGAAAAUAGCUGGGAGACAAGAGCGAGAGCUGCCUCCUGCUGCCAGCAAAGCCUGGCCUCUAACAUCCCACACAUCUGUAACAGGCCACAUCCACAGCACAGCACACAGAGCCAACAACUGUAAACAACGGUGUCGGAGCACAAUGUGGACUGUAUGCAUGUUUAUUCCACAUGAAUUAACACAGGCCUGUUCUUCACUGCAGCAGAGAAAAUAAAGAAAUUCUUUGUCACUUUGCAACAGCCUGUUUUAAAAACAGCGGUUUUAACUUAGGAUGUUUGGAAAUUAGAUAGCAGUGGUGAUGAGAGGAUCUCCCACAGUUUUGUAUUUCACUGUCAUCCUUAUUUCCUGGAAAGAUGGAGGUUAUCUAAAUAUACCACUCAUGAGAAAUGCAAAGGGCCGUAGACACAAGUAGAUCCAGUCAUAAUUUUUGGUGAUAGUGUCUUUAAAGCCUCUAACAGAAAUAUUUAAUUCCCU